UGAAGCCUGAACUCGAGUAGGGCCCAAGCAAGCCAGGAAGGAGGAGGCAGCCAGAGUGUUCUCUGCAGCAGAAGACCCCUUGCUGCCUUGCUUAACCCAGACCAGCAUUUGCCAGUGUAACAUGACAGGGCUCUGUGUAUGAUCAAUUUACGGAAAAUAGGAGACUACCAAAAGUGGUGGAGGCAUUUUAAUAGAGCCAUUUUCCAGCAUCUGAGUGUUAAUGCAAUGUGACUGGAAUGUCACCAGUAAACACCACCACAAGCUGUGCUGUGUAUUGCCAGUUGAAGAUGGUUCCUGCAACAAGUUUCACACCACUGUGCUGCCCUAAUAUGAACUAUUUUGCUAUGCUUUGUGACCUGGGGAAAGGAUGCCCCUUACUUCGUGGUGUGAUCAGCUUCGAAUAAGAUAUUCCUCUGGUUCCCCUCUGCCCAUUUGUUAAGGAUUCCUUGAAGGAAAUGUGAAGUUUGUCCCCCAGAGCCCUGGAAAGAUCCAAGGGAGCACCAGAACACCCGUUCCUCUCUCCUUUCUCCUUCACAGAAGCUUAUUACUGAAGAAGCCACGGUUCCAGACAUCAGCGCCAAAGAUAAGAGCCUGGACAGUGGGAAAAUUCCAUAAGUCAGUGAACUUCACUAUUUUCCAAGUGGGGACCACUUUGGCAAAAAAAAAUUCCAACAUGAGAGCAAUUUCCCACCUCCAUGGGAGACAGCUCAGAUUGUCCAGGCCCUGUUGGAAAUGUGGCACUGGUGACCCCAGAUAAGACCCACUGGGAAAACUUGUGUGCUGCCUUCGCAGCUGCCUUCAGGGAGUGGCCCUAUUGGUGAGGACCCUCCUCCAUACAAGGAGGCGCCCAGGCCAGGGGAGAGCAUAACAUCGGCCCCCAUGGAGACCAGUUCUGGCCUGUGAGGACUGUUGGGGCAGCCCCUCCCCCCGCACCUUCCCAGGAGUACUGAAAGACCAGUGUGCCCUGAGAGGAAGGCAAGAAAGGAGGCACCCAGGCCAGGGAGCUCUUGUCCUCAACUCCUGAAAAGACCAACAGCCUGAGACAAUGUUUUAUUAAUCUUCUGUUAUUUGCUUCGUUUAAUAUUGUAAACCGCUUUGGGUGCCUUUGUCAAGGCAGAAAGGCAGUAUAAAAAUCUAGUAAGUAAGUAAGUAAGUAAGUAAGUAAAUAAAACACCAUCCUCCACAGUGUCCAAGCUGAUGGACUAUCUGGCUUCCAUCUUCAGCCUGGAGGAAGAUCCGAAGAAACAUUCCUCCGCAGAGGGGCCACACAGCCUCCCCAGACCCAAAACAAAGCCCAAGUAUGGUUUGAAAGCACCCCUAGGUGGCAAGGUAACCCUGUAGAAUGCUCCCACAACAAACCCUUCUUUCUUUUGUCUUCCUCCCCUUUUCCAGCGGCCUGGGUUUCCUCUGGUAGUUGCACAGGGGAAACAGUGUCCAGGCACCUGCCCCCCUUCCCUACUUGGUGUGUGCUCCUCUCCCCCAUCCACUCCAGCAUCCAUUCCUCACUUCAUGUCCGUCUUAGUUCACUCCUCCUUCCUCCCAGGCCUGCAGCAGGAGCAGGAGCACAGGAGCCCAAGUAGCUCUUGGGGGCCCUCUGGAAUCCCAGCCCUGGGGGUGGGGGUGACACAUCCCAAGGGUCCCUAGUGCUACCAGGGAAUUCUCCUCCCUUCAGCUCCCUGCAGUAUAGCAGGUGAGGUUGCCAUCAGCAUGCCUCCUGGCCCCAUCUUUGGCUCAUCCCCUCCCCUGCCUGCUACAGCAAAUAGGGCUCCUUCUUCACCCUGGGGGUAGGGGUGAGCAAGAAAGUGGCCUCUAGUGACUGCCAACACAGAGGGAGGCCACAAUGGUUGCCCUAUUGUGGGCCAAGUAGGAAUUUUUUUGUUUUCCAACAGAAUUGGCCCAAUAGGAAAGUCUUUUUUUCUUUCUUUCUUUGUGCCUCUUCUAGUCUAUCCUGUUUUGUUUCCUUAGCUAAAAAGUUGUGUACUUAUAGAAAAUCUAGUGAAGUUGAUUAAUAAAGUUGCAACCUUUCAUUCACA
Hemicordylus capensis (graceful crag lizard) is the source of this 2033-nucleotide long non-coding RNA. RefSeq lists it as uncharacterized. The transcript is spliced from 8 exons. Lineage: Eukaryota; Metazoa; Chordata; Lepidosauria; Squamata; Cordylidae. The record is from RefSeq and is a predicted model, not a curated record.